Molecule: ribosomal RNA, 429 nt
Filed under: Pseudomonadota bacterium
Lineage: Bacteria; Pseudomonadati; Pseudomonadota
Description: Proteobacteria bacterium partial 16S ribosomal RNA
Rfam family: Bacterial small subunit ribosomal RNA
Source: RNAcentral
UGGGGAAUAUUGGACAAUGGGCGAAAGCCUGAUCCAGCCAUGCCGCGUGUGUGAAGAAGGUCUUCGGAUUGUAAAGCACUUUAAGUUGGGAGGAAGGGCAGUAAGCGAAUACCUUGCUGUUUUGACGUUACCGACAGAAUAAGCACCGGCUAACUCUGUGCCAGCAGCCGCGGUAAUACAGAGGGUGCAAGCGUUAAUCGGAAUUACUGGGCGUAAAGCGCGCGUAGGUGGUUCGUUAAGUUGAAUGUGAAAGCCCCGGGCUCAACCUGGGAACAGCAUCCAAAACUGGCGAGCUAGAGUAGGGCAGGGGGUGGUGGAAUUUCCUGUGUAGCGGUGAAAUGCGUAGAUAUAGGAAGGAACACCAGUGGCGAAGGCGACCACCUGGGCUCAUACUGACACUGAGGUGCGAAAGCGUGGGGAGCAAACAGG